UAACUGUUACGUUUUUUUGCCGAGUAAAA
This 29-nucleotide small RNA is filed under the name Bombyx mori (domestic silkworm). RNAcentral's name for it is "ovarian small RNA-19047". Lineage: Eukaryota; Metazoa; Arthropoda; Insecta; Lepidoptera; Bombycidae. The record is from RNAcentral.